RNAcentral lists this ribosomal RNA (236 nucleotides) under uncultured Staphylococcus sp. Its description in RNAcentral is "partial 16S ribosomal RNA". It matches the Rfam family "Bacterial small subunit ribosomal RNA", at positions 104 to 334 of the family's 1533-position model. Lineage: Bacteria; Bacillati; Bacillota; Bacilli; Caryophanales; Staphylococcaceae. The record is from RNAcentral.
GGGUGAGUAACACGUGGAUAACCUACCUAUAAGACUGGGAUAACUUCGGGAAACCGGAGCUAAUACCGGAUAAUAUUUUGAACCGCAUGGUUCAAAAGUGAAAGACGGUCUUGCUGUCACUUAUAGAUGGAUCCGCGCUGCAUUAGCUAGUUGGUAAGGUAACGGCUUACCAAGGCAACGAUGCAUAGCCGACCUGAGAGGGUGAUCGGCCACACUGGGACUGAGACACGGCCCAG